GCCAGCAGCCAUAUCACCCUACAACCCACUGAAGCUAAGCAGCUGUGAGCCUGGUCAGUACCUGGAUGAGAGACCUCCUGGGAAAAACUAAGGUUGCUGCUGGAA
This 105-nucleotide ribosomal RNA is filed under the name Lepisosteus oculatus (spotted gar). The record is from RNAcentral. Lineage: Eukaryota; Metazoa; Chordata; Actinopteri; Semionotiformes; Lepisosteidae.